GAUCCUACGGGGGGCAGCAGUGGGGAAUAUUGCACAAUGGGCGCAAGCCUGAUGCAGCCAUGCCGCGUGUAUGAAGAAGGCCUUCGGGUUGUAAAGUACUUUCAGCGGGGAGGAAGGCGAUAAGGUUAAUAACCUUGUCGAUUGACGUUACCCGCAGAAGAAGCACCGGCUAAAUACGUGCCAGCAGCCGCGGUAAUACGUAUGGAGCGAGCGUUAUCCGGAUUUACUGGGCGUAAAGGGAGCGUAGGCGGCCUGCCAAGUCUGAUGUGAAAUACCGGGGCUCAACCCCGGGGCUGCAUUGGAAA
This 305-nucleotide ribosomal RNA is filed under the name uncultured bacterium. Its description in RNAcentral is "bacterial SSU rRNA". It matches the Rfam family "Bacterial small subunit ribosomal RNA", at positions 335 to 632 of the family's 1533-position model. The record is from RNAcentral.